UCCAUUGACAGAAAGUGAGAGCCGAGCCAAAGAUAUAAGAAAACAUAGAGACGAACGAUGAGAGCUUGAAAGGCUUCCCUCUCAGUGCGACUGCGCCCUUAGGCUAUGUACAACAAAUCAGCCGGGAUCAUAUGUUUAAAUUAAGAGAAACACAGAAAAGAAACAGCAUGAAUGUCAGAAAGUAGAUAGAAGAUAACCCCAAUUACUCUUUAUGCCUGUUUCCAUUAUUUAUCGUUGUUUGUUUUGUGGUACAUUAUUUUCAAAAAAGCCGGUUACAUAGCAAUCAUAUGGUUAUCUAUCUAUCACACCGUUUGCUGUGUCUAUCUACUUGCAUAUGGCCUCCCGGUGUAUGUGCCCUUCCUUCAACCCUCUUUAGAAGGGGUGUAUCAGCUGUUCAACGAACAACAACGAGUUUUUCAAAGAAAUCGAAGAGGACUGUGAGGUGAAGGCAGGCAGGGGCAUUGGAAAAAUCGCUGUAAGUUUAGUCAGUAAUUAUUCUUCUUUCGUUUGGUAUUUGACUUUUUUCUAAGCAAGAUGGAAAUUGAAGGUUUUCCGAGAUGGGUGAAAAUCUGAAUUACUUUUCCAGGAGCGUCGGUGAUACUAAGAGAUUUACUGCCAGCUUGGCAUGCUUUAAGUUGUAUGGGUACGUGUGACAAAAUCCACUAACACACAUUAAAAUAACCAAACACUUUCGGCCCGGACCCGGACAGACCCGGUGUCUAUUUUAGCUGUGCAGCCCUAUGUGUGCAGCUGAAGCUCUUGCUGUUGCUGCACAAGCUACACUACAGCUACAGGCAGGCACUAAAUAGAGAGACGAUUUCAUUUUCAUGUGACUGCGACUUAUGUAAACGAAACGAACACCGCACCACCGCACCGGUCGGAACGAAAUAGCCGCAGACUCAUAAAAAGACACCACUCUGAGAAUUUUAGGCUUUGGAAAUGUUGUGUGAUUCGAAACAUCAUCUGGGAAUAAUCCAAGGAAUACUUAAGCAAGGAUGAUGGUGGCGACUACACGACGACGAACGGUGGGUUGUGUUAUGUUAAGGAAACGAUAACACGUGUUAGUUGAAAACACACAGCAGUGAUUUGUUGCAAAUGAGGAUGGACACAUAACAUCUUUAAUAUGGAAUCGUGAUUUUUGGGAAAAUAAGAGAUAAAUCAAGAAUCUGGGCUUUGGGAAUUGAUAGAUGCAAAACGUAACCAAAAGUAAAUGCUUACCAAAUGCAUAUUUGAGUAGUCUUACGAAAUAAAAGGGUUUCAUUUUAUUUAUUAUUAACAAUGUUUCUUUGUAAGUAGGUGCUCUCUUAACUUACGAAAUAUUCCCAACUCGAUUAUGAAACAUGAAUGAUUGGAAAAUAUAAAUAUAUGUUCGUAGUUUUUUUUGGCCUUAUUAUUGGA
Eupeodes corollae is the source of this 1398-nucleotide long non-coding RNA. RefSeq lists it as uncharacterized. Lineage: Eukaryota; Metazoa; Arthropoda; Insecta; Diptera; Syrphidae. The transcript has 3 exons. The record is from RefSeq and is a predicted model, not a curated record.